GCAAAACGCGAAGAACCUUACCCACCUUUGACAUGUACGGAACUUGCCAGAGAUGGCUUGGUGCUCGAAAGAGAACCGUAACACAGGUGCUGCAUGGCUGUCGUCAGCUCGUGUCGUGAGAUGUUGGGUUAAGUCCCGCAACGAGCGCAACCCUUGUCAUUAGUUGCUACAUUCAGUUGGGCACUCUAAUGAGACUGCCGGUGACAAACCGGAGGAAGGUGGGGAUGACGUCAAGUCCUCAUGGCCCUUAUAGGUGGGGCUACACACGUCAUACAAUGGCCGGUACAAAGGGUUGCCAACCCGCGAGGGGGAGCUAAUCCCAUAAAGCCGGUCGUAGUCCGGAUCGCAGUCUGCAACUCGACUGCGUGAAGUCGGAAUCGCUAGUAAUCGCGAAUCAGAAUGUCGCGGUGAAUACGUUCCCGGGUCUUGUACACACCG
This 438-nucleotide ribosomal RNA is filed under the name uncultured bacterium. RNAcentral describes it as "bacterial SSU rRNA". It matches the Rfam family "Bacterial small subunit ribosomal RNA", at positions 954 to 1392 of the family's 1533-position model. The record is from RNAcentral.